CUAUUAAGAACAUUCCAGCAUGUCUGACGCGGUGAGAUGCUGGAAAAUUAAUUUCCUAAUUUAUGACAGCAAUGAUCGGAUAGACACAGGGAAUCCUGGGUGCUGAUGCUAAGCAAUCUCUUCUACCAUUGCUUUGCAAGUUGCAACUCUCAAUUUAGCUGGCUCCUUGGGUUGUUAGGCUUAUAUUUUAUUCAUGUAAGAGUCAAGAGUCUACUCUGAAGGUUUCAAAUUUCUCAAGAACUCGUCUCUCUCACAGAAAGCCAUUCAAUUGUUUCUUUCUUUCUUAUUCUUAUAUAUCCUAACUUCUGGUUGGAGCAGUUCUUCGUUGACACAACAGAGGAAGAACAAGGGCUACAAACAUACACACGAGAAGGUCAUGGGGCAUCACCAUCAUCAUCACCACCAUCAUCAUAGCGAUAGCCCAUAUGAUGAUCCCUUGUUGGCUUGUUGUUGCUGCCCUUGCUUGCUAGUUUCUUCCUUGCUGAGAGGAUUUGGGAGAUGUAUAUUUGCAGCUUGUUACCCUCUCUUUCGUUGCUUUGGAUUGGAAGACCACCACCACCACCACCAUUUCUUUUGAUCAUUGUUUGGUAGUUUUGUUUCUUUCGUUUUCUAGUUUUACAGCCAAAUCGAUUGGAAAGAAAAAAGAUUUAAUUCAAGCGAGAUGUUGAUUUUUUU
This is a long non-coding RNA of Populus euphratica (Euphrates poplar), 675 nucleotides long. RefSeq lists it as uncharacterized. The record is from RefSeq and is a predicted model, not a curated record. NCBI's taxonomy places the organism in Eukaryota, Viridiplantae, Streptophyta, Magnoliopsida, Malpighiales, Salicaceae. The transcript has 2 exons.